AGGAUAUAGCUCAGUGGUAGAGUGUGUGCUUAGCAUGUACAAGAUCCUGGGUUCAAUCCCCAGUACCUA
This 69-nucleotide transfer RNA is filed under the name Camelus bactrianus (Bactrian camel). It matches the Rfam family "tRNA". Rfam says of the family: Transfer RNA (tRNA) molecules are approximately 80 nucleotides in length. Their secondary structure includes four short double-helical elements and three loops (D, anti-codon, and T loops). The record is from Rfam by way of RNAcentral. Lineage: Eukaryota; Metazoa; Chordata; Mammalia; Artiodactyla; Camelidae. RNAcentral also lists the same sequence under 2 other names.